RNAcentral lists this ribosomal RNA (253 nucleotides) under uncultured bacterium. Its description in RNAcentral is "partial 16S ribosomal RNA". It matches the Rfam family "Bacterial small subunit ribosomal RNA", at positions 524 to 776 of the family's 1533-position model. The record is from RNAcentral.
UACAGAGGAGCCAAGCGUUGUCCGGAUUGACUGGGCGUAAAGCGCACGCAGGCGGACGCGCGCGUGGGGUGUGAAAUCUGGCCGCUUAACGGCCAGGCGCCAUCCCAUACGGCGGGUCUGGAGUGAUGCAGAGGGCGGUGGAAUUGCCGGUGUAGUGGUGAAAUGCGUAGAGAUCGGAAGGAACGUCAAUGGCGAAGGCAGCCACCUGGCAUAAUACUGACGCUGAGGCGCGAAAGCAUGGGGAGCGAACAGG